UACGUAGGUGGCAAGCGUUGUCCGGAAUUAUUGGGCGUAAAGCGCGCGCAGGCGGUCCUUUAAGUCUGAUGUGAAAGCCCACGGCUCAACCGUGGAGGGUCAUUGGAAACUGGGGGACUUGAGGACAGAAGAGAAGAGUGGAAUUCCACGUGUAGCGGUGAAAUGCGUAGAGAUGUGGAGGAACACCAGUGGCGAAGGCGACUCGUUGGUCUGUAACUGACGCUGAGGCGCGAAAGCGUGGGGAGCAAACAGG
This 253-nucleotide ribosomal RNA is filed under the name uncultured bacterium. RNAcentral describes it as "partial 16S ribosomal RNA". It matches the Rfam family "Bacterial small subunit ribosomal RNA", at positions 524 to 776 of the family's 1533-position model. The record is from RNAcentral.